Non-coding RNA from Pelobates cultripes (western spadefoot toad), 283 nucleotides. The record is from the annotation of a GenBank genome assembly. NCBI's taxonomy places the organism in Eukaryota, Metazoa, Chordata, Amphibia, Anura, Pelobatidae.
CAACUACAGCUUAUUGAAUUUGUUCUGGUGAGUAGAAUCAUUACCUUCAGGCUUUUUGCUGUAAACACUGUCUUUUCAGAGAAAAUGUAGUGUUUACAUUAUAGCCUAGUGAUAACUUCACUGGUCACUCCUCAGAUGGCUGUUAGAGAUCCUUCCUGGGUCAUGGCUGCCUAAAAUGCAUCCAAACAUUCAGUAUUUCCUCCCUCUGCAUGCAGACACUGAACUUUCCUCAUAGAGAUUCAUUGAUUCAAUUAAUCUCUAUGACGAGUUGCUGAUUGGCCAG